AAGUACCAAGUAAAUGUUUCAACCAUCCACACUACAAACCUUUAAUCUGGCAGCUGCUUUCAGCAGAUUGCAUGCCUCCUUAGUGCUACCGUCCGAUGAUGAGUUGUACUUUUCAAACUCUUUUGCAAAACGUUCAGCAACAAAAAUAUGUGCAUUGAAAGGCUUUGCUGCUUUUCCACAAGAUUUAUGCGCCACUUUUUCGAUUG
Molecule: long non-coding RNA, 206 nt
Filed under: Musa acuminata (dwarf banana)
Lineage: Eukaryota; Viridiplantae; Streptophyta; Magnoliopsida; Zingiberales; Musaceae
Description: long non-coding RNA (MACU_LNC010850)
Source: RNAcentral